Molecule: ribosomal RNA, 253 nt
Filed under: uncultured bacterium
Lineage: Bacteria
Description: partial 16S ribosomal RNA
Rfam family: Bacterial small subunit ribosomal RNA
Source: RNAcentral
UACGGAGGGGACUAGCGUUGUUCGGAAUUACUGGGCGUAAAGCGCACGUAGGCGGAUUUGUAAGUCAGGGGUGAAAUCCCCGGGCUCAACCCGGGAACUGCGUCCGAUACUGGCAGGCUUGAAUUCGGGAGAGGGAUGCGGAAUUCCAGGUGUAGCGGUGAAAUGCGUAGAUAUCUGGAGGAACACCGGUGGCGAAGGCGGCAUCCUGGACCGAGAUUGACGCUGAGGCGCGAAAGCCAGGGGAGCAAACGGG